This 427-nucleotide ribosomal RNA is filed under the name uncultured bacterium. RNAcentral describes it as "partial 16S ribosomal RNA". It matches the Rfam family "Bacterial small subunit ribosomal RNA", at positions 355 to 774 of the family's 1533-position model. The record is from RNAcentral.
UGGGGAAUAUUGGACAAUGGGCGCAAGCCUGAUCCAGCCAUACCGCGUGGGUGAAGAAGGCCUUCGGGUUGUAAAGCCCUUUUGUUGGGAAAGAAAUCCAGCCGGCUAAUACCUGGUUGGGAUGACGGUACCCAAAGAAUAAGCACCGGCUAACUUCGUGCCAGCAGCCGCGGUAAUACGAAGGGUGCAAGCGUUACUCGGAAUUACUGGGCGUAAAGCGUGCGUAGGUGGUUAUUUAAGUCCGUUGUGAAAGCCCUGGGCUCAACCUGGGAACUGCAGUGGAUACUGGAUGACUAGAAUGUGGUAGAGGGUAGCGGAAUUCCUGGUGUAGCAGUGAAAUGCGUAGAGAUCAGUAGGAACAUCCAUGGCGAAGGCAGCUACCUGGACCAACAUUGACACUGAGGCACGAAAGCGUGGGGAGCAAACA